This 440-nucleotide ribosomal RNA is filed under the name uncultured bacterium. Its description in RNAcentral is "partial 16S ribosomal RNA". It matches the Rfam family "Bacterial small subunit ribosomal RNA", at positions 339 to 795 of the family's 1533-position model. The record is from RNAcentral.
CUACGGGUGGCUGCAGUGGGGAAUCUUGUGCAAUGGGCGAAAGCCUGACACAGCAACGCCGCGUGCGGGAAGAAGGCCUUCGGGUCGUAAACCGCUUUCAGCAGGAACGAAAAUGACGGUACCUGCAGAAGAAGGUGCGGCCAACUACGUGCCAGCAGCCGCGGUGACACGUAGGCACCAAGCGUUGUCCGGAUUUAUUGGGCGUAAAGAGCUCGUAGGCGGUUCAGCAAGUCGGGUGUGAAAACUAUGGGCUUAACCCAUAGCCUGCAUCCGAAACUGCUGUGACUAGAGUUCGGUAGGGGAGAGGGGAAUUCCUAGUGUAGCGGUGAAAUGCGCAGAUAUUAGGAGGAACACCGAUGGCGAAGGCACCUCUCUGGGCCGAUACUGACGCUGAGGAGCGAAAGCGUGGGUAGCAAACAGGAUUAGAUACCCUAGUAGUC